Long non-coding RNA from Gallus gallus (chicken), 1505 nucleotides. Lineage: Eukaryota; Metazoa; Chordata; Aves; Galliformes; Phasianidae. The record is from Ensembl.
GGGAGUUUGCAAUACAAUUAGUUGUUUUUCUUUAGCAGACAGUUAGAGAUGCAACACAUAUGGUAACUUAUAUUGUCCACCUCCUUUCAAUGAAAUUGUCAGCUUUCUAUGAAUCUUAUGGAAAAUAAAGAAGUUGCUUGGCUACAAACUGAUCAUCUGCUGAGUAACAGUUCAGUACACUUACAGACAUGUUGAGUAGAAGGGGAACCUUAUGAUCAGGUGGUAAUUUCUGAGCAGUAUCUGCUGUUGGUGACAAGUUGUUUUGCUUACUAGCAGCAGCAGAAAUACUGGUCUGUGACUAAGAGAUAAAGCUGGAGAGUCUUAAUGCCUCUAUGGAGUACCCAUGAGUACGCAUGCGCACAUUUCCUGCCUGUUCAGCUAGAUGGUUACUGUCUUCUCAGUCAGAGAUGGAAUUUGAACAAUAGGAAAAUAAUGUAUUUAUAUCAAGAAUAUUGAAGAAAAUAUUUUAAAUGCUUGUCGUGGGAUGAAUUUUUUUCUUUUUUUUUUUUUUUCCUGUCGUGCGACAGGGCCUAGCUCCAUUUCCCCAGCCCCUCCCCCUCACAGGAAGCUGUCAGAAAAGUGAGAAGGAGGAGUUGCUGCUCGAUUGAGAUAAACUAUUUUACUAAAAAUGGGUGACAUCUGGCCAAGAUGAUGUGAGGUCAGAAGAGAACUAUACACAAGUAAAUGGAGAAGCUGAUCUAGGUGCAUAGGAUUGCCAGAUGGAGAACAACAGGCAACACAAUGGCUUAUCUCAAACAUACAUGGAUUCGAUGUGACCCUACAUCCUCCAGGACUCAUGUAUGCAGACUGAAACAGGUGAGACAGCUUAUUGCCACCUUCUUGGAUAUAUCUGUCACUGCUGCUGUGGGAAGAAAGAAACCAGCAGGAAGGUCACACAGGUCUUUUCUGUGUUGGUCUUCAGAUGCGAUGACAUCGUACCUUCCUCUUUUGAUAUCAUCUGGUAUAUGGUCAUUUUCUGAAAUAUUUUUAGUCAUGUUGGCUCAUUAGUUCUACUUCAGCUUUCUUUGGAAUCACUGAAUGACUUGGAUUGGAAGGGACCUCAAAGACUAUCAGGUUCCAACACCCCUGCAACAGGCAGCUAGAUCAAGCACUAUAUCAAGCUGCCCGGGGCCCGAUUGAACUUGGCCUUGAACACCUCCAGGGAUGGAGCAUCCACAACCACUCUAGGCAGCCUGUUCCAGCAUCUCACCACCCUCUCUGAGGAACAUCUUCCCCCAACAUCUAAAUUAAAUGUUCCCUUGUUUAGUUUAAAACCAUUUCCUCUUGUCAAAUAUAUAGACUUAUACAGAUUAAGUGGCUUCCAAAAUAAAGAAUAAGUACUUAAGGCCAUUAUACUUUGAUUUUAGCUCACUGGUCUGUUUUUAAAUGUCUUCCAAGCCUUUUCUUUGUUAGCCAUAUUAAUUUAACUGGAGUCCACUGAUGUUAGAACCAGGUCAUCAACACCACCACUGACUUCCAGAUAUAUUUCUUCCUUCCUUUUUGUG